This 256-nucleotide long non-coding RNA is filed under the name Elaeis guineensis (African oil palm). Its description in RNAcentral is "long non-coding RNA (EGUI_LNC061706)". The record is from RNAcentral. Lineage: Eukaryota; Viridiplantae; Streptophyta; Magnoliopsida; Arecales; Arecaceae.
UUAUUCAGAUCCUUAUAGUGUAUGUUGGCUAUAGUAGGUUCAUUGUAGGAGUAGAGUGCGUACUUAUAAAGGAUCUAUUGACCUUAGUAUAUAAGGAAUAGUUUUAUGAGAUUUGAGAAGUCAAGUUUAUAAGUCUAUGGCUAUAGCAAGAUGAUUGAUGGAAAGGAGUUUUCAUGAGUAUCACAUUUAGGUUGGAGUUAAUCUAAUAUUUCAUAUAACAGAUGUUGGGGUUUGACGAGUUUCUAUGAUCUCCAUC